AGUGAACGCUGGCGGUAGGCCUAACACAUGCCAGUCGAACGGCAGCACAGUAAGAGCUUGCUCUUACGGGUGGCGAGUGGCGGACGGGUGAGGAAUACAUCGGAAUCUACUUUUUCGUGGGGGAUAACGUAGGGAAACUUGCGCUAAUACCGCAUACGACCUACGGGUGAAAGCAGGGGAUCUUCGGACCUUGCGCGAUUGAAUGAGCCGAUGUCGGAUUAGCUAGUUGGCGGGGUAAAGGCCCACCAAGGCGACGAUCCGUAGCUGGUCUGAGAGGAUGAUCAGCCACACUGGAACUGAGACACGGUCCAGACUCCUACGGGAGGCAGCAGUGGGGAAUAUUGGACAAUGGGCGAAAGCCUGAUCCAGCCAUACCGCGUGGGUGAAGAAGGCCUUCGGGUUGUAAAGCCCUUUUGUUGGGAAAGAAAAGCAGCAGGUUAAUACCCCGCUGUUUUGACGGUACCCAAAGAAUAAGCACCGGCUAACUUCGUG
This 492-nucleotide ribosomal RNA is filed under the name uncultured bacterium. RNAcentral describes it as "partial 16S ribosomal RNA". It matches the Rfam family "Bacterial small subunit ribosomal RNA", at positions 29 to 507 of the family's 1533-position model. The record is from RNAcentral.